Molecule: ribosomal RNA, 250 nt
Filed under: uncultured bacterium
Lineage: Bacteria
Description: partial 16S ribosomal RNA
Rfam family: Bacterial small subunit ribosomal RNA
Source: RNAcentral
UACGGAGGGUGCAAGCGUUAUCCGGAAUCAUUGGGUUUAAAGGGUCCGCAGGCGGGUUUAUAAGUCAGAGGUGAAAUCCCACAGCUUAACUGUGGAACUGCCUUUGAAACUGUAAGUCUUGAAUUAAGUGGGCGUUGGCGGAAUAUGACAUGUAGCGGUGAAAUGCAUAGAUAUGUCAUGGAACACCGAAAGCGAAGGCAGCUAACGAUACUUUAAUUGACGCUCAUGGACGAAAGCGUGGGUAGCGAAC